Glycine soja is the source of this 162-nucleotide long non-coding RNA. RefSeq lists it as uncharacterized. The transcript has 3 exons. The record is from RefSeq and is a predicted model, not a curated record. Lineage: Eukaryota; Viridiplantae; Streptophyta; Magnoliopsida; Fabales; Fabaceae.
AAUGAAAGGAUUCUUUCAUCAUUGUCAAGGAGAUCAGUAGCUGCCCAUCCUUGGCAUGAUCUAGAAAUUGAUCACUAAAGGAAGCAAGGUUAAGUAUGAACUUGACAAAAAGACUGGAUUGAUUAAGGUUGAUCGGGUUUUGUAUUCAUCAGUUGUUUAUCC